RNAcentral lists this ribosomal RNA (167 nucleotides) under Campylobacter concisus. RNAcentral describes it as "partial 16S ribosomal RNA". It matches the Rfam family "Bacterial small subunit ribosomal RNA", at positions 1366 to 1533 of the family's 1533-position model. The record is from RNAcentral. Lineage: Bacteria; Pseudomonadati; Campylobacterota; Epsilonproteobacteria; Campylobacterales; Campylobacteraceae.
AUACGUUCCCCGGGUCUUGUACUCACCGCCCGUCACACCAUGGGGAGUUGAUUUCACUCGAAGCCGGAAUACUAAAUUAGUUACCGUCCACAGUGGAAUCAGCGACUGGGGUGAAGUCGUAACAAGGUAACCGUAGGAGAACCUGCGGUUGGAUCACCUCCUUUCUA